This is a transfer RNA of Allomyces macrogynus ATCC 38327, 73 nucleotides long. It matches the Rfam family "tRNA". From Rfam's summary of the family: Transfer RNA (tRNA) molecules are approximately 80 nucleotides in length. The record is from Rfam. NCBI's taxonomy places the organism in Eukaryota, Fungi, Blastocladiomycota, Blastocladiomycetes, Blastocladiales, Blastocladiaceae.
GGCCUCGUGGAGAAAUGGUCAACUCGUUGGUUUUCGGCACCAAAGAUUGUCGGUUCGAGUCCGGCCGGGGUCG